UGUUUGAGUGCCGAGAAGCCAUUGAUAGGUCUCCUGACCUUGUUGACUAUGCUUCCAGCUGAUGUUAGGCCCCUUGAGGGGGACACCUAGAUGCAUCAGAAGCAGGACAUGGAGCCAGUGACCUUUGAUGAUGUGCUAUGAAGUUCACCCUAGCAGAGUGGGAUCUGUUGGAUUCUUCUCAAAAGAAGCUCUACACAGAUGUGAUGAUGAACCUUAUCUCCAUAGGGAAAACAGAGGAAGAAAAUAUUGCUGUGGACUGCC
Onychomys torridus (southern grasshopper mouse) is the source of this 261-nucleotide long non-coding RNA. RefSeq lists it as uncharacterized. Lineage: Eukaryota; Metazoa; Chordata; Mammalia; Rodentia; Cricetidae. The transcript has 3 exons. The record is from RefSeq and is a predicted model, not a curated record.